RNAcentral lists this ribosomal RNA (1283 nucleotides) under Yersinia enterocolitica. Its description in RNAcentral is "partial 23S ribosomal RNA". It matches the Rfam family "Bacterial large subunit ribosomal RNA", at positions 229 to 1554 of the family's 2925-position model. The record is from RNAcentral. Lineage: Bacteria; Pseudomonadati; Pseudomonadota; Gammaproteobacteria; Enterobacterales; Yersiniaceae.
CCGAGAUUCCCCCAGUAGCGGCGAGCGAACGGGGAGGAGCCCAGAACCUGAAUCAGCGUAUGUGUUAGUGGAAGCGUCUGGAAAGUCGCACGGUACAGGGUGAUAGUCCCGUACACAAAAAUGCAUAUGUUGUGAGUUCGAUGAGUAGGGCGGGACACGUGACAUCCUGUCUGAAUAUGGGGGGACCAUCCUCCAAGGCUAAAUACUCCUGACUGACCGAUAGUGAACCAGUACCGUGAGGGAAAGGCGAAAAGAACCCCGGCGAGGGGAGUGAAAUAGAACCUGAAACCGUGUACGUACAAGCAGUGGGAGCACCUUCGUGGUGUGACUGCGUACCUUUUGUAUAAUGGGUCAGCGACUUAUAUUUUGUAGCAAGGUUAACCGAAUAGGGGAGCCGUAGGGAAACCGAGUCUUAACUGGGCGAAUAGUUGCAAGGUAUAGACCCGAAACCCGGUGAUCUAGCCAUGGGCAGGUUGAAGGUUGGGUAACACUAACUGGAGGACCGAACCGACUAAUGUUGAAAAAUUAGCGGAUGACUUGUGGCUGGGGGUGAAAGGCCAAUCAAACCGGGAGAUAGCUGGUUCUCCCCGAAAGCUAUUUAGGUAGCGCCUCGUGAACUCAUCUUCGGGGGUAGAGCACUGUUUCGGCUAGGGGGUCAUCCCGACUUACCAAACCGAUGCAAACUCCGAAUACCGAAGAAUGUUAUCACGGGAGACACACGGCGGGUGCUAACGUCCGUCGUGAAGAGGGAAACAACCCAGACCGCCAGCUAAGGUCCCAAAGUCAUGGUUAAGUGGGAAACGAUGUGGGAAGGCAUAGACAGCCAGGAUGUUGGCUUAGAAGCAGCCAUCAUUUAAAGAAAGCGUAAUAGCUCACUGGUCGAGUCGGCCUGCGCGGAAGAUGUAACGGGGCUAAACCAUGCACCGAAGCUGCGGCAGCGACGCUUAGGCGUUGUUGGGUAGGGGAGCGUUCUGUAAGCCGUUGAAGGUGACCUGUGAGGGUUGCUGGAGGUAUCAGAAGUGCGAAUGCUGACAUAAGUAACGAUAAUGCGGGUGAAAAACCCGCACGCCGGAAGACCAAGGGUUCCUGUCCAACGUUAAUCGGGGCAGGGUGAGUCGACCCCUAAGGCGAGGCUGAAAAGCGUAGUCGAUGGGAAACAGGUUAAUAUUCCUGUACUUGGUGUUACUGCGAAGGGGGGACGGAGAAGGCUAGGCUAGCCGGGCGACGGUUGUCCCGGUUUAAGCAUGUAGGCGGAGUGACUUGGUAAAUCCGGUUGCUUAUCA